AGCAGCCGCGGUAAUUCCAGCUCCAAUAGCGUAUAUUAAAGUUGUUGCAGUUAAAAAGCUCGUAGUUGAAUUUCGGGGUUAGUAGGUUGGUCAUGCCACUGGUAUGUACUGGUCUCACUGAUUCCUCCUUCCUGAUGAACUGUAAUGCCAUUAAUUUGGUGUUGCAGGGAAUCUGGACUGUUACUUUGAAAAAUUAGAGUGUUUAAAGCAGGCUAACGCCUGAAUACAUUAGCAUGGAAUAAUGAAAUAGGACGUUCGAUCCUAUUUUGUUGGUUUCUAGGAUUGACGUAAUGAUUAAUAGGGAUAGUUGGGGGCAUUAGUAUUCAAUUGUCAGAGGUGAAAUUCUUGGAUUUAUUGAAGACUAACUACUGCGAAAGCAUUUGCCAAGGAUGUUUUCAUUAAUCAAGAACGAAAGUUAGGGGAUCGAAGACGAUCAGAUACCGUCGUAGUCUUAACCAUAAACUAUGCCGACUAGGGAUCGGAUGAUGUUAAUUUUUUAAUGACUCAUUCGGCGUCCG
Molecule: ribosomal RNA, 518 nt
Filed under: uncultured Glomeromycotina
Lineage: Eukaryota; Fungi; Glomeromycota
Description: SSU rRNA
Rfam family: Eukaryotic small subunit ribosomal RNA
Source: RNAcentral